UACGUAGGUGGCAAGCGUUGUCCGGAUUUACUGGGCGUAAAGAGCGCGCAGGCGGUCGGAUCAGUCGAAUGUGAAAGCCCCCGGCUCAACUGGGGAGGGUCAUUCGAUACUGUCCGACUCGAAGGCAGGAGAGGGAAGCGGAAUUCCCGGUGUAGUGGUGAAAUGCGUAGAUAUCGGGAGGAACACCAGUGGCGAAGGCGGCUUUCUGGGCUGUUCUUGACGCUGAGGCGCGAAAGCUAGGGGAGCGAACGGG
This 253-nucleotide ribosomal RNA is filed under the name uncultured bacterium. RNAcentral describes it as "partial 16S ribosomal RNA". It matches the Rfam family "Bacterial small subunit ribosomal RNA", at positions 524 to 776 of the family's 1533-position model. The record is from RNAcentral.